This 68-nucleotide transfer RNA is filed under the name Marmota monax (woodchuck). Its description in RNAcentral is "tRNA.Ala". The stretch from base 5 to 65 matches the Rfam family "tRNA", at positions 6 to 65 of the family's 71-position model. Rfam says of the family: Transfer RNA (tRNA) molecules are approximately 80 nucleotides in length. Their secondary structure includes four short double-helical elements and three loops (D, anti-codon, and T loops). The record is from RNAcentral. Lineage: Eukaryota; Metazoa; Chordata; Mammalia; Rodentia; Sciuridae.
GGUUUGUAGCUCAGUGGUAGAGCACUUGCCUAGCAUGUGUGAGGUGCUGGGUUCAAUCCUCAGCACCA